CAUGAAAUCAUAACUUUUUUGAGUUUAAUGUAAAGAUGUGAAAACGUGAACUGUACAUUUAAAGCUGUUAGUUGUAACAGAAAGCAGAUUACAUCAAAAUAAAGCGAAAAAUGUGUAGUUGUUGUAGUAAAAUUUCAGUUAUUUCUUACCUUUGGAAGGUUUGACGCUUUACAUAAUUUUCGCGAACAAAUUCAAUGAUCUGUUUUUGCGUUCUUCCACUGUAACUGUAAUUGUACGAAUAUAUUGAAUGAAAAUUUCAUUAAUUAAUUUUCUGAAUUUUGAGGCAUACCGGAACGAACUUCCACGGGAAAGGACGCGGGUCUUACGCCUGGGUGUACUCUGAACUGUUGUGCACCGGAAGAAUCCGUGAUUUUCAACACACUUCUUCCAGAAAUUCUUGCACUCAUU
Molecule: long non-coding RNA, 408 nt
Organism: Drosophila nasuta
Lineage: Eukaryota; Metazoa; Arthropoda; Insecta; Diptera; Drosophilidae
Exons: 2
Source: RefSeq, a predicted model, not a curated record